RNAcentral lists this ribosomal RNA (253 nucleotides) under uncultured bacterium. RNAcentral describes it as "partial 16S ribosomal RNA". It matches the Rfam family "Bacterial small subunit ribosomal RNA", at positions 524 to 776 of the family's 1533-position model. The record is from RNAcentral.
UACGGAGGAUCCAAGCGUUAUCCGGAUUUACUGGGUUUAAAGGGUGCGUAGGAGGACUGGUAAGUCAGUGGUGAAAUCCCCGAGCUUAACUUGGGAACUGCCGUUGAUACUAUCAGUCUUGAAUACCGUGGAGGUGAGCGGAAUAUGUCAUGUAGCGGUGAAAUGCUUAGAUAUGACAUAGAACACCAAUUGCGAAGGCAGCUCGCUACACGAAUAUUGACUCUGAGGCACGAAAGCGUGGGGAUCAAACAGG